UUCUCGUUUAGACCAACGCUUUGAAACCGACGGAAUUUGGUGCUAGAGGUUUAUCGAUUGCUACCGUAUACUUUGAUUUUUUGUUUAUUGCUAUAUUUUCUAUAGUUGUUUCGUCAUCUAUGAAAGGUAUCAGAAGUUUUUCUGCAGGUUUCAAUUCAGAAUAAGAUGGCAUUGUUUCGUCGCAGGCGCUGAGUUGUGAUGUUUCCUGGUGGUAGACAAUCGACGAGCCCUAAUCUUUCAUAACUUGGAAUCUUGGGAUAUUGGAUUUAGUUUGUAAGGGUUUGUAAUUUGGGGUUGGGGAAAAGGGGUUCUGUUAUGGGUAGACAGUUGGGGAAAAGGGAUUCUGUUAUGAUCUGAUACGGCCUUUGCCAUGACAGGUGCGCUUGCAUGGCAGGUCAUCAAAAUUUUAAUAUAAUAAACGAUAUUUUUUGGUUUUGAGAGGAGAAAGCACGGGGCUUUUUAACCCGGGUUCUCUCCUCUGGUGGUGUGGUGUGUGGUUUUCCUGUGUCUGUUGCGAUUGGUGUCCAUUCCUUCCUUCUCCUCCUACAUAAUCAACAUCGUUACAACUACAAAAUCAGAAAUCAACAUAUAUGAAUAACCAAGGCUCUUAAUUCAGGGAAAAGGUACACGCAUUGUUAAUAUAUUGCCUUUAAUUUUUUUAAGCAUUAUUAAGACAAAUUUUGAUAUCCACUCAGAGUAAUAUAAGAUAAUUUUUAUCUAAUAGAAUUUAUAUUUUAUUAUUAUAAAAAUCUAUUGUGUGUUAACAUUGUAAAAUUGUGAUUCUUUGGUAUUUUUUGGCAUCAUUGGAUAAUCAUUUAGCAGAUUGCAAGACCAAUAGACCUGGUUAGCAAAAAGAGAUUUUGGUCUCUACAUAAUUGUUAUGUAUUCAUCCCUACCCCAAAAAGUUCCAUUUUUUUGCUCUCAUUGUUUAUUUCAAAAAGUGCAAUUGAUUUGGGUCCUAGAAUUAAAUGACAGACUUCUUUGAGUUUAUUACUAUAAUUUCAUUAUCAUGUUAAUAGCUCCUAAACUAAAACACGCAUGGAAAAAUUAAAUUUUAUAUAUUUGUAAAUUUUGUUAAAUUGAAACAAAUUUAUACUUUAUUAAAUUUGCUAGUGCCACUUUUUGUGAUAGUGAGCAUAUAUUUUGCUCCUGUUUGAAUUUGAAGGGGUUAGUCAACUAGUGUUCAAAACUUGUGGUACUAACAAUUUAUUCUGGAACAUAAAGUUGUUAAUUAUGUUCUAUUUUUAAUGCCGUUAGACAUGAAUCUGAUAGGCCUUCGCAGAUGGAUGAAGGUGUGAAGGGAUAAAACUCUUCUGCAUCUCAAAAUGGUAGAAGGAAGAUUUGAAGCAUCCUUUCACAUGUUUUGUAUUGCAAUUUGCAAUCGAACUGAUUUUCAUGAUUAGGGGCCUCUGUCUCAUGUAUAAGUUUCAAGGUGCAGCAUUUAGUGGGGAAAAAGUAAGAUGGUUUACUCUUCUUUUGACCUUGUUAUAAAGUUUAGUUCCUACAAGCUUUAGCUAAAGCCUAAAAGUUCACAAUGAAAUUCCGUUACUUUGUUAUCUUAAAUACUAUGAUCUCUUAAAUUCCUUUAUUUUAAAUUUGACUAGGUAACAAAUUUUCUUGUGUUUUUAUUCUUCUAAGUAAUUAUUACGCACUUAUUAUAUCUGUCCACUUCUUUCCUGUAUAAUAUGUAUCUUUACAUACGUAUUAUGCAAGAAAAGAAUCAAUAUAUAUUUUUAAAAAGAGUCAUUUCCUAAAAUUUAAAUUAUCAGGUUGUUUGCUUCCUCCAUAUUUAGUUCGUUGGAGUCCCACUACUUUGUAAUGUCCAAAACUAAUGGACAAUCUCUGCCCUAGGAAUUCAGUUGUAGAUCUAACUGGUGCAGUUGUAUCUUGAGGUGUAAAUUUACAGUUUAUUAUAAUUCACAAUCCAUUACUACAUCAACUUAAAAAUACAUUUUGACUUUUUGUAGUUGUUUUGCAAAAAUCUAAAAUUUAAAAUACAUACGAAUUUAUUCGUUUAGAGUAUAAACAAAUAUAUCCAUUUUAAACUAACUAAAGAAGUUCUACUAAUCAAUAUAUUUGUUGUUUUAAGCCUUUAACAAUUAUACGUCAAUAUGUUGUAAAUUUGCUUCAAAAAGUCAAAAAUAUCUCUGAUUUUGGAUGGGAGGUAGUAUUUGGUAAGUUAAUUUUUGGCUUGUGCUGUCAGGUAGAAGAACCAUUGGGUGUAAAUGUUACUAUUAUGUUCUUUUUCUGAUUGUUUCUGCAGUUGAUAACUGUAUAUGAUUCUCUUGUCAGUUUCUUGAUUAAUUAGUUUUCAACUAUUUCAGAAUUAAAAUGGUUUCAUCUCUCAAAAGAUCACACUAUUAUAUAUAUAUAUAUAUAUAUAUAUGUAUAUAUAUAUUUCACCCAGCCUGUGAAUGAGAGUAUCUCGCAUGUUGCUGAGAUUCUGGAUUUUGAAUUUCCGUUCAUGGAGGUAAAAGUGGUUGAUGGCCAUGUUUUGCAG
RNAcentral lists this long non-coding RNA (2500 nucleotides) under Panax ginseng (ginseng). RNAcentral's name for it is "long non-coding RNA (PGIN_LNC016219)". The record is from RNAcentral. Lineage: Eukaryota; Viridiplantae; Streptophyta; Magnoliopsida; Apiales; Araliaceae.